CUGCAAGCCAAGGUCCGUUUUGCACGCAGAGCGGCCGAUAUACCUCGCUUCGUACAGUCUGGCCAAAUUAAAGUGGCAAAACAGAAGAGUGCAGAUACGAAACAGCGAUGAGUGUACGAAUAUCUUUAUGACGUAGUCGUGUGGCGCAGAAUCGUUCCCUCGCCAGUGAAUAACGUGAACCAAAUUUUCUUGCAGUAGGAGAGAUGCUUCUUUACGGUACCGUUCGCCGUUGUGACCAGUCUUUGACCCAGAUUCGGUCAUAUUCAUUAGGGGUAAUCGCAAAUGGUACAGGGAUAAAGUAAUAAAAAGUUCCGUGGCCAUUGGAAGUCAGACUUUGACGGACGUUCACGACCUCGCCAAGUGUUUGGCGUGCGGGGAGAUAUUUGCAGCUUUUUCGCACUGCUAAUUGGCAACCUCUGACCUUUAACAAGAAUUAGAGGAGCCUAGCCUCGGCACGGUUCAUGGAGGGAUGUAAUAUGCGCGCACAUACUCGAAUCACGUGGUUCCGAAAAAUUACCUCGGUUUGAGCGUUUUUCUCGAAAGAAGAUUUUUUUGAACUUGCUUUUGUUGUUCUGAGAUCGAAAUUAUGACUUCCACAAUGCACGGAAAUUGCCAACGCGAAUGAGGACCUGCUGUGGGACGUAGCUAAAUAACUUGAUCAAUUACGAAUCAAAUGACUUGAAAAAACUGCCAGAUCUUGUUCAAACUGGUAAUAAA
This is a long non-coding RNA of Neodiprion virginianus, 717 nucleotides long. RefSeq lists it as uncharacterized. NCBI's taxonomy places the organism in Eukaryota, Metazoa, Arthropoda, Insecta, Hymenoptera, Diprionidae. The record is from RefSeq and is a predicted model, not a curated record. The transcript has 3 exons.